CGGGCCGGGCCUGCCGGUCAGGGGCAGCUGCUCUCCAGCGACACCGGCUUGGAACUGGGCUUGGACGGUUCGCCGCCGUCCUGCCCGUCC
This 90-nucleotide transfer RNA is filed under the name Actinomadura citrea. RNAcentral describes it as "tRNA-Trp". Lineage: Bacteria; Bacillati; Actinomycetota; Actinomycetes; Streptosporangiales; Thermomonosporaceae. The record is from RNAcentral.